This 210-nucleotide ribosomal RNA is filed under the name uncultured bacterium. RNAcentral's name for it is "partial 16S ribosomal RNA". It matches the Rfam family "Bacterial small subunit ribosomal RNA", at positions 524 to 731 of the family's 1533-position model. The record is from RNAcentral.
UACGUAGGCAGCGAGCGUUGUUCGGAGUUACUGGGCGUAAAGAGUGCGUAGGCGGUGUUCCAAGUCUGUUUGUGAAAUCUCCCGGCUCAACUGGGAGGGUGCGGCGGAAACUGGGACGCUGGAGUACGGGAGAGGUAAGCGGAAUUCCUGGUGUAGCGGUGAAAUGCGUAGAUAUCAGGAGGAACACCUGCGGUGUAGACGGCUUUACUG